This is a long non-coding RNA of Symphalangus syndactylus (siamang), 314 nucleotides long. RefSeq lists it as uncharacterized. NCBI's taxonomy places the organism in Eukaryota, Metazoa, Chordata, Mammalia, Primates, Hylobatidae. The record is from RefSeq and is a predicted model, not a curated record.
CCGACGUGAUCGCCUUGAAGUUAUGCAUGGAGUAGGAUGACUCACCAAUCUUCGGGGAAUACCGUUCUUGUCUAUGGAGCCACAUCCCACACCUGCUACUCACUCUGUGAAUUACCCCUCCCAUCGCAAGGGCUACUUCCACCGAAACUGAUCUUCCUGCCUUCCCACUGGUAUAACCGCAUUCCUGCACUUUUCAAGUUAGCCAACCGGGUUUAGCCAACCGGAUUGUGCCGUCCAACUCCAGCCAAUGGAGACAGGACACAGUAAGAAGGACAAGCUGCUUAGAGCCCUGAAGAUGAGUUUUCACCCCAGAG